RNAcentral lists this ribosomal RNA (429 nucleotides) under bacterium. Its description in RNAcentral is "partial 16S ribosomal RNA". It matches the Rfam family "Bacterial small subunit ribosomal RNA", at positions 355 to 776 of the family's 1533-position model. The record is from RNAcentral.
UAGGGAAUCUUCGGCAAUGGGGGCAACCCUGACCGAGCAACGCCGCGUGAGUGAAGAAGGUUUUCGGAUCGUAAAGCUCUGUUGUAAGAGAAGAACGUGUGUGAGAGUGGAAAGUUCACACAGUGACGGUAACUUACCAGAAAGGGACGGCUAACUACGUGCCAGCAGCCGCGGUAAUACGUAAGUCCCGAGCGUUGUCCGGAUUUAUUGGGCGUAAAGCGAGCGCAGGCGGUUUAAUAAGUCUGAAGUUAAAGGCAGUGGCUUAACCAUUGUUCGCUUUGGAAACUGUUAAACUUGAGUGCAGAAGGGGAGAGUGGAAUUCCAUGUGUAGCGGUGAAAUGCGUAGAUAUAUGGAGGAACACCGGUGGCGAAAGCGGCUCUCUGGUCUGUAACUGACGCUGAGGCUCGAAAGCGUGGGGAGCAAACAGG